RNAcentral lists this non-coding RNA (99 nucleotides) under Ureibacillus sinduriensis. Its description in RNAcentral is "Lysinibacillus sinduriensis SAM-I sequence". It matches the Rfam family "SAM riboswitch aptamer (S box leader)". Rfam says of the family: The SAM riboswitch is found upstream of a number of genes which code for proteins involved in methionine or cysteine biosynthesis in Gram-positive bacteria. The record is from RNAcentral. Lineage: Bacteria; Bacillati; Bacillota; Bacilli; Caryophanales; Caryophanaceae. RNAcentral also lists the same sequence under 1 other name.
CUCUUAUCAAGAGAAGCAGAGGGACUGGCCCGAUGAAGCUUCAGCAACCAACGGAAUGUAAGGUGCUAAAUCCAGCUGGCGUAAGCCGAAAGAUGAGAA